UACGGGGGGGGCAAGCGUUGUUCGGAAUUACUGGGCGUAAAGGGCUCGUAGGCGGCCAACUAAGUCAGACGUGAAAUCCCUCGGCUUAACCGGGGAACUGCGUCUGAUACUGGAUGGCUUGAGGUUGGGAGAGGGAUGCGGAAUUCCAGGUGUAGCGGUGAAAUGCGUAGAUAUCUGGAGGAACACCGGUGGCGAAGGAGGCAUCCUGGACCAAUUCUGACGCUGAGGAGCGAAAGCCAGGGGAGCAAACGGG
This 253-nucleotide ribosomal RNA is filed under the name uncultured bacterium. Its description in RNAcentral is "partial 16S ribosomal RNA". It matches the Rfam family "Bacterial small subunit ribosomal RNA", at positions 524 to 776 of the family's 1533-position model. The record is from RNAcentral.